This is a long non-coding RNA of Cydia pomonella (codling moth), 1384 nucleotides long. RefSeq lists it as uncharacterized. NCBI's taxonomy places the organism in Eukaryota, Metazoa, Arthropoda, Insecta, Lepidoptera, Tortricidae. The transcript has 2 exons. The record is from RefSeq and is a predicted model, not a curated record.
UUAUAAGGCAUUGUUAAGAGCUUACGAGUAACGCGUAACGCAUAAAUGAAAAACACAAUCAUGUUUAACACUAAAUUAGUUAACUUUAAUAAAUAAUCUGGGUAGAGUCUGGGAAAUAAUUCCUGCUACUACUCUAAAUCUAUCCUCCGCCCCGCCACUGGCCCAAUCCCUCAACCCCCAACCUCAGACCCCCCUCUACCUUCACCACCACCGUCUACCUCACACACCUCUCACACAUAUCCCUCACCUCUUAUUUCCAACACUACCAACAUCAAAAAUCAUAAUACACCUAAUACAUUUAUUUAUAUUAUCCUAUAAAGGAUGAACACUAUUAAAUUGUCGCCUACAUUUUUACUUUGCUAGCGUGUUACAUCAAACCUUUUUUUAAUAUUCUUUUAAAAUUUCAAAUUUAGAAGGCUCGUGAAAUAAUAGACAACCAUAAAAUGUUCACUUGUUUUUUAUCCAUGAAAAAGGCGUUACGCGAAAAAAAUGUUCAUGAAUUAAUUUUGCAAGAAUUUAGUGUGCAAGCUAUUUGAUAAGAGUCCGAGUAUCUCUUCCCGGGAUGUGGCGAAAAAAGUAGGAACAAGUCAAGCAAAUGUCCAAAAUAUUAAAAAAGAAUGCGGCACUACAACAUAAAAUAAGCAAAAGGCUCCGAAGAGAACUGUGGAUCAGUAUAAUCGUGCUGUUAGACGUUCCAGGUUAUUGUAUACAUUGUUGAUAGAGAAAAAUUGUUGCCUAAUUAUGGACGAUGAAACCUACGUUAAGGCAGACUUCAAGUCUUUACCAGGUAACCAGUACUAUUCCUCUCGUGACAUUUUGUAUCUCGACGAAUCGGAAAAGGUUAUCCCAGUAGAAAAAUUUGCUAAGAAAUACCUUGAUUGGCAAGCUAUAUGCCAGUGCGGCAUGAAGAGCUCACCAUUCAGCUCGGGAUAAUUAACACCCACAUUUUUAUAUCAGAAUGCUUGAAAAAGGGACUGUUACCAUUCAUGAAGAAGCACACUUCCUCAACAUUGUUUUGACCAGAUUUAGCAAGUUGCUAUUAUUCAUCUCGAACUUUGGAAUGGUAUACGGUGAAUUCAGUUGUGGUAGUGCCUAAGGAGAGUAACCCACCAAACGGUCCCGAACUUCGCCCAAUCGAUAAAUAUUGGGCUAAUAUAGAAACUUAACUGCGAAAACUUGCCAACCUGCCACUUCAUUGAAAGAUUUUCAACGAAAAUGGGUUAAAUGCACAAAAUUGUUAACCGAUGAUUCCGUGCAAAGUUCGAUGAAGCACAUUAAAAGUAAAGUCCGGGAAUUUUCUCGUCGUUCGUUAUAAUAGCCUUGAUAUUUUUUUUAUUGAUUUUAUGAUAUAUAAAAUUAGUCAUAUAAAGAAUUUUAAGCACUG